AUACGGAGGACGCGAGCGUUAUCCGGAUUCAUUGGGUUUAAAGGGUGCGCAGGCGGCCGUGCAAGUCAGCGGUGAAAGCCCGGGGCUCAACCCCGGAAGUGCCGUUGAUACUGCAUGGCUGGAAUGCGGUCGAGGCGGGCGGAACGUGGUGUGUAGCGGGGGAAUGCGUAGAUAUGCCACAGAACGCCGAUAGCGGAGGCAGCUGGCCAGGCCUGCAUUGACGCUCGGGCACGAAAGCGUGGGGAUCGAACAGGAUUAGAUCCCCUGGUAGUCCACGCCGUAAACGAUGGGCGCUCGUCGUCGGCGGCAGACAGUCGGCGGCCAAGCGAAAGCGAUAAGCGCCCCACCUGGGGAGUACGGUCGCAAGGCUGAAACUCAAAGGAAUUGGCGGGG
This 393-nucleotide ribosomal RNA is filed under the name uncultured bacterium. RNAcentral's name for it is "partial 16S ribosomal RNA". It matches the Rfam family "Bacterial small subunit ribosomal RNA", at positions 523 to 918 of the family's 1533-position model. The record is from RNAcentral.